GACGAACGCUGGCGGCGUGCUUAACACAUGCAAGUCGAACGGAAAGGCCCUGCUUUUGUGGGGUGCUCGAGUGGCGAACGGGUGAGUAACACGUGAGUAACCUGCCCUUGACUUUGGGAUAACUUCAGGAAACUGGGGCUAAUACCGGAUAGGAGCUCCUGCUGCAUGGUGGGGGUUGGAAAGUUUCGGCGGUUGGGGAUGGACUCGAGGCUUAUCAGCUUGUUGGUGGGGUAGGGGCUUACCAAGGCUUUGACGGGUAGCCGGCCUGAGAGGGUGACCGGCCACAUUGGGACUGAGAUACGGCCCAGACUCCUACGGGAGGCAGCAGUGGGGAAUAUUGCACAAUGGGCGGAAGCCUGAGGCAGCAACGCCGCGUGCGGGAUGACGGCCUUCGGGUUGUAAACCGCUUUCGCCUGUGACGAAGCGUGAGUGACGGUAAUGGGUAAAGAAGCACCGGCUAACUACGUG
RNAcentral lists this ribosomal RNA (468 nucleotides) under uncultured bacterium. RNAcentral describes it as "partial 16S ribosomal RNA". It matches the Rfam family "Bacterial small subunit ribosomal RNA", at positions 28 to 507 of the family's 1533-position model. The record is from RNAcentral.